RNAcentral lists this ribosomal RNA (1130 nucleotides) under uncultured organism. RNAcentral's name for it is "bacterial SSU rRNA". It matches the Rfam family "Bacterial small subunit ribosomal RNA", at positions 332 to 1450 of the family's 1533-position model. The record is from RNAcentral.
CAGACUCCUACGGGAGGCAGCAGCUAAGAAUCUUCCGCAAUGGGCGAAAGCCUGACGGAGCGACGCCGCGUGAACGAUGAAGGCCGUGAGGUUGUAAAGUUCUUUUCCUGGGGGAGAAUAACAGCCGGAGGGAAUGCCGGUUGGAUGACGUGAACCAGGGAAUAAGCCCCGGCUAAUUACGUGCCAGCAGCCGCGGUAACACGUAAGGGGCGAGCGUUGUUCGGAUUUAUUGGGCGUAAAGGGCGUGUAGGCGGUAGUGCAAGUCUGGUGUGAAAUACCCCGGCUCAACCGGGGAGGCGCGCUGGAAACUGUGCUGCUUGAGUCUAGGAGGGGGAGCUGGAAUUCCUGGUGUAGGGGUGAAAAUCUGUAGAGAUCAGGAAGAACACCGGCGGCGAAGGCGAGCUCCUGGCCAUAGACUGACGCUGAGGCGCGAAAGCGUGGGGAGCGAACAGGAUUAGAUACCCUGGUAGUCCACGCUGUAAACGAUGUGCACUAGGUGUUGGGACUGAUGAAAGUCUCGGUGCCGUAGCUAACGCGGUAAGUGCACCGCCUGGGGAGUAUGCUCGCAAGGGUGAAACUCAAAGGAAUUGACGGGGGCCCGCACAAGUGGUGGAGCAUGUGGUUUAAUUCGAUGAUACGCGAGAAACCUUACCAGGGCUUGACAUAGGCUUGACGGCUGUAGAGAUACAGCUUCCCUUCGGGGCGAGCUUACAGGUGCUGCAUGGCUGUCGUCAGCUCGUGCUGUGAAGUGUUGGGUUAAGUCCCGCAACGAGCGCAACCCUUGUCGUCUGUUGCCAACAGGUAAUGCUGGGGACUCAGGCGAUACUGCCGGUGACAAACCGGAGGAAGGUGGGGACGACGUCAAGUCAUCAUGGCCCUUAUGUCCUGGGCUACACACGUGCUACAAUGGCCGGUACAGAGCGAGGCGAAACCGCGAGGUGGAGCAAAUCGCAGAAAGCCGGUCUCAGUUCGGAUUGAAGUCUGAAACCCGACUUCAUGAAGGUGGAAUCGCUAGUAAUCGCGCAUCAGCACGGCGCGGUGAAUGUGUUCCCGGGCCUUGUACACACCAGCCCGUCACACCACCCGAGUUGGGGGUACCCGAAGUCGCUUGUCCAACCGGCAACGGAGGA